GGGUUCAUGCUUAGUGGUAGAACAUCUGCUUUGCAUGCAGGAAGUCCCAGGUUCAGUCCCCUGGGAACG
Podarcis lilfordi (Lilford's wall lizard) is the source of this 69-nucleotide non-coding RNA. The record is from the annotation of a GenBank genome assembly. NCBI's taxonomy places the organism in Eukaryota, Metazoa, Chordata, Lepidosauria, Squamata, Lacertidae.